Molecule: ribosomal RNA, 5133 nt
Filed under: Triticum aestivum (bread wheat)
Lineage: Eukaryota; Viridiplantae; Streptophyta; Magnoliopsida; Poales; Poaceae
Description: partial small subunit ribosomal RNA
Source: RNAcentral
AUGGCCCCCAAGCAUGCCGGCCGUGGCAAGGGCCGGGGCGGCGGCGGCAAGGGCGACCGCAAGAAGAAGGAGGAGAAAGUGGUGCCGAGCGUGGUGGACGUCGCGGUCACCACCCCCUACGAGUCCCAGGUGACACUCAAGGGGAUAUCGACGGAUCGCGUGCUGGACGUGCGGAAGCUGCUGGCGUCCAACGUGGAGACGUGUCACCUCACAAACUAUUCACUCUCCCAUGUGGUGCGUGGGCAGCGGCUGGAGGAGGGCGUGGAGAUCGUGGCGCUGAAGCCGUGCGCGCUCACCAUCGUGGAAGAGGAGUACGCGACGGAGGAGGCCGCGGUGGCGCACGUCCGCCGGCUGCUGGACAUCGUCGCCUGCACCACCGCCUUCGCCAAGGCCAAGCAGCACAAGUCCUCGUCCAAGCACGCGCAGCGCCCCGCCACGCCCCCGUCCCCCCCACCCGCCUCCUCCCCCGGGGCCAAUGGCGUCGGCGCCGGCGAGGCGCCCGCGAUUUCGGAGGCGCACGACAUGCAGGCCAUCGGCCCGCCGCCCAAGCUCGGCGAGUUCUACGACUUCUUCUCCUUCGCCCACCUCACCCCGCCCCUCCACUUUAUCAGGAGGAAGGAGAGGAACGGCGCUGCCCAGGACGGCGAUUACUUCGAAAUCGAGGUGAAGGUUUGCAACGGGAAGCUUCUGCACAUAAUUUCCUCGGUCAAGGGAUUCUACCUGGUGGGGAAGCCGCACACCGUGAGCCGGUCCCUGGUGGACCUGCUACAGCAGCUCAGCAGUGGAUUUGCCAAUGCGUACGAGGCACUGAUGAAAGCUUUUGUGGACCACAACAAGUUUGGGAAUCUACCGUUCGGCUUUCGUGCAAACACAUGGCUUGUUCCUCCUGUAUAUGUGGACUCUGCUACAAAGAGCCCAGCUUUGCCGGCUGAGGAUGAGAACUGGGGUGGCAAUGGAGGUGGCUGCGGACGAGAUGGAAAACAUGACCGGAGACGGUGGGCAAGAGAAUUUUCUAUUUUGGCUAGAAUGCCAUCCAAGACCGAGGAAGAGAGGGUGAUCAGAGACCGGAAGGCUUUCCUUUUACACAAUCUGUUUGUAGAUACAGCGAUUUUCAGAGCUGCGUCGACAAUACGGCGGCUGGUUGAUACUAGUCCACAAACUGGUCCGGAUGGUUCGUUAGUACUUGAGGAACGUGUUGGGGACUUGCAUAUAACUGUAAAGAAGGAUGAGGCUGAUGCUAGUUUGAAGUUGGAGGACAAAGUUGACAGAGUUGCCAUCUACCAGACGGAUGCUAUGGAUAUAUCACAAAGAAAUCUUCUGAAAGGUUUAACCUCUGAUGAGAGUGUCGUUGCUAAGGACUCUUCCACGCUAGGUGUGGUGAUUGUUAAGCAUUGCGGAUAUACGGCAACAGUGAAGGUUUCGGGACGCACAAAGAACAGCAGCGAUGGCAAACAAACCAGUGAUAUCUCUGAUCAUCUUGAUGAAAUACCUAACAUCGAUGUGGAUGAUCAUCCAGAUGGAGGUUCUAAUGCCUUGAAUCCUCACAGUCUAAGAAUACCACUGCCGAAAAUUAUCAACCCAGAAAUCGUUGCCAGUAACCAGCACCUUGCAUCUAAACCACAUGUUGAUAAUUAUGCGAGGAAACUAGCAUGUACAGUACUUGAAACCAGCUUGAGGAAACUGGAGAACACCCCGAACAAAAAUCCUAGACGUAUCAGGUGGGAACUUGGGUCCUCCUGGCUCCAGCACUUCCAGAAAAAAGAUGCUUCCAUUUCUGAGGACAGUGAGAAGAAUGCAAAAAAAUCUGAAAAAGAUUCAUCUGUCAAAGGUCUCGGCAAGCACUUUGAACAAUUAAGAAAAAUUAAUAAGAAAGAAAGCACUAUUGAAGAUGCUAAGACUGUUAAGGAAGAAUCUGAUAGCAACUGCCUGCUGACAAAUGGUACGGAGAAGUCUGAAAAUGUAGUAUUUACCGAAAUAAGGAACCUGAUUACAGAGGAUGCUUUCUGCCGCUUGAAGAGUUUGGAAGCUGGCCUUCAUCAAAAGUCCCUUGAAGAGCUCACAAAGAUGGCCCAUAAGUUCUAUGAUGAUACUGCACUCCCAAAGCUGGUGGCUGAUUUUGCUUCCCUUGAACUUUCUCCAGUGGAUGGAAGAACGAUGACUGAUUUCAUGCAUACAAGGGGACUAAAUAUGUGCUCAUUAGGCCGUUUGGUAGAGCUAGGAGAGAAGCUCCCACACAUCCAGUCAAUAUGCAUCCAUGAAAUGGUCAUUCGAGCCUUUAAGCACGUCAUUCGAGCUGUUAUUGCAGCUGUUGAUGACAUGCAAAAUAUGUCUGCGGUUAUAGCCGAGACUUUGAACAUUUUACUGGGAUCUCCAAGAUUAGAAAAUGAUCUUGAUACAGAUGCUAAUGAGCAUAACUUGCGGCUGAAAUGGGUAGAGAGCUUCCUUUCUAAAAGAUACUGCUGGACACUGAAAGAUGAAUUUGCGCACUUGCGGAAGCCCAUCAUUCUGAGAGGCCUUUGCAGCAAGGUUGGCCUUGAGUUAGUCGCAAGAGAUUAUGAUAUGAAUAGCCCAAACCCGUUUGACAAAUCCGACAUUGUCAACAUAGUUCCUAUAUGCAAGCAUGUCGUCUACUCAUCUAUUGAUAGUCGAAACUUACUAGAAUCAUCAAAGAUGGCUUUGGAUAAAGGAAAGCUUGAUGAUGCUGUUAACUAUGGAGCAAAGGCCUUGUCCAAAGUUAUAGCUGUUUGUGGUCCAUACCAUCGGCUGACUGCUAAUGCAUACAGUCUUCUUGCUGUAGUUCUUUACCAUACUGGAGAUUUUAAUCAGGCAACUAUAUAUCAACAGAAGGCACUUGAUAUCAAUGAAAGGGAGCUUGGUCUUGACCAUCCGGAAACUAUGAAGAGCUAUGGUGAUUUGUCAGUUUUCUACUACCGUCUCCAACACAUUGAGAUGGCUCUGAAGUAUGUCAACCGUGCACUUUAUCUACUUCAAUUUUCUUGUGGGCUUUCACAUCCAAAUUCAGCUGCCACCUACAUAAAUGUGGCUAUGAUGGAAGAAGGUAUGGGAAAUGUUCAUGUUGCUCUAAGGUAUUUGCAUGAAGCGCUAAAAUGCAACAAGAGAUUGCUUGGAGCUGAUCACAUACAGACUGCUGCAAGCUACCAUGCCAUAGCCAUAGCCCUCUCCAUGAUGGAUGCGUACUCCCUAAGCGUGCAACAUGAACAAACCACCUUACAGAUACUUCAGGAGAAACUAGGAGACGAUGACCUUCGAACUCAGGAUGCUGCUGCUUGGCUAGAGUAUUUCGAUUCAAAAGCAUUAGAACAACAAGAGGCCGCUCGCAGAGGAAUCCCAAAACCUGAUUCUUCUAUUGCAAGUAAAGGGCAUCUUAGUGUAUCAGAUCUACUUGACUACAUAAGCCCGGAUCAGGAAAGAAAAGAGAGGGAUAUGCAAAAGAAGUGCAGGCGUGCAAAGAAUAAUACAAGAGCACACCAAGGUGAACCAGUUGAAGAGAAGGAGAACUUUCAGCAUGACUCAGGAUCUCUUCUUGAAGCAGACAAAAAGGAUUUUCAAGAAGCAAAACUGGAAGCAAACCCUCGUGUAGUAGCAGCAGUAGCAGAAGAAACUUAUGCUGUCCAUGAUGAGCUGAAGCAGGUAGAUACUUUGUCACCUGAAGAGUAUUCUGAUGAAGGUUGGCAAGCAGCUACAUUGAAAGGGAGAUCUGCAAAUGUGCGGAAAAAAAGCAUCCGCAGAAGGUCAUCUCUCACCAAAUUAGUGGUUGAUCGUACAGAAGAUGGCCGCACUGCUUCUGCUCAUAGGAGUGGUGUACAACCACAAGCAAAAGAGCAUAAAGAGGAAGCUGUAAACUCCCCUAGCCAACUGUCAUUUGGCAACUUUAUCAGAAGUGACAAGUUGAAUGGGGAUCCCGUCAUUACCGAAGAGAAGUCUUCUAAGGGUGCGUCUAAAUCGGAAUGGAAGGUAAAGCCCACAGGAAUCAAGAGGCCAACUAGCAUAGCUUCAAAGCUGGUAUCAUACAAAGAUGUGGCAGUGUCACCGCCUGGCACAAUGUGGAAACCAAUUGUGGAACAGAAGGAAACAAAGGAGAAGGAUAACGAACAAGAUACUGAUGUAGCACCUUCAUCCGAGGAAGGAGAUAGAAAGCUUAUAGAUGAAGAGAAGGAGAAGUCAAGUGAUGAGAGCAGCAAAGAGAAUGUCUCAACUCAGCCAGAGGGAAGCAGUCCCCCAGAGCCAGAGAAAGCUUCUGACAGCAAUAGUGACGGAAGCUCAUCUCCGGGCAAGAAAACAAGUGGAAGCAAACUUUCAGCCUCAGCACCUCCAUUCAAACCUGGAUCACUCUUAUCAGUGUCCCAUCCUUACAGCACAGUGGCAAUAUAUGAUGCCAGCGUUGUGCUUCAGCCAAUCCCAAGUCAAGCAAUGGAGAUUCUCCCUCAUGCUGUCGAUACUAGAGUACCCCGUGGUCCUCGGUCCACCUUGUACUAUCGUACUGGACAUUCUUUCCAAAGGAAACAGGGUUAUACACAGAGCCAGAGCACUAUUCUGAGGGGCAGCACCUCCCCUCCAACCAUGAACCCCCAUGCUGCUGAGUUUGUGCCUGGAAAAACUGUGCAACAAACUGAUUUGGCUGCAGGGGAACAAACUAAUUCUGUAAGUGAUCCAGCAGAUCAGCAGUUGGCAUCACAUGCCUCAGAUGGAGUGAAAGUCGAUGUUCGUGAGGCAGACAAGGCAGGUCAAGUGGAGAAGACAACUCCAGGUAAAGUGAAGGAACGAGCGAAAGAGGCGACAAGAGAUUCAUACAAAGCAGAACUUGCAAGGCAGAUUCUGCUCAGCUUCAUUGUCAAGUCGGUCCAUGACAGCUUAGGUUCGACUCGACCUCAACCGGACAGAAAACCAAGCGGGUCAGAUGAAGCUAGUAACGAACAGAGCAGCAACGUAACCAAGACUGCCGUAAGUCCGAAAGAGUUCGACAAACAACCGAAGGCCGCCGAGGUGCCCAAGAGCGAGAAGGAUACAGAGGGGUUUACAGUGGUCUCAAAGCGUAGGAAAAGCAAGCAGCACUUCGUGAACCCCAUAAACGGUCUCUACUCUCAGCAGUCAAUCUGCACUUCGGUCAGCUGA